AAACAGUGGGAUAUACAUCUCUUCUAUUUUACAAGCCGGAGUGCCAGUGCUACUACCAUUUCAUUCUGCAGCUCCCAGGCACAAAACUCAACCUUGAUAACACUGCUU
Telopea speciosissima is the source of this 108-nucleotide long non-coding RNA. RefSeq lists it as uncharacterized. The transcript has 3 exons. The record is from RefSeq and is a predicted model, not a curated record. Lineage: Eukaryota; Viridiplantae; Streptophyta; Magnoliopsida; Proteales; Proteaceae.